GCGAUCGUAGCUCAGUUGGUAGAGCACCGGGUUGUGAUCCUGGAUGUCGCGGGUUCAAGUCCCGUCGGUCGC
Molecule: transfer RNA, 72 nt
Filed under: Planctomycetota bacterium
Lineage: Bacteria; Pseudomonadati; Planctomycetota
Description: Planctomycetes bacterium (marine metagenome) tRNA-His
Rfam family: tRNA
About the family: Transfer RNA (tRNA) molecules are approximately 80 nucleotides in length.
Source: RNAcentral